UGAGAACGGCAGUUAGCUGGGAUUGGG
This 27-nucleotide small RNA is filed under the name Bombyx mori (domestic silkworm). RNAcentral describes it as "ovarian small RNA-3643". Lineage: Eukaryota; Metazoa; Arthropoda; Insecta; Lepidoptera; Bombycidae. The record is from RNAcentral.